GAUGAGCUUAAUUGUAUGUGAUGAAAAGGGUUCAAGUUUGGGGUGUACAGGAAAAAAAUUGAAAAAGCAAGUGAAAGACAUUGAGCUCAAUUGUUGUGAAAAGAGAAAAAUGCUUGAGAAAAAGAAAAGAAAAGAAGAAAGACAUGAAGAUGAGCUCAAUGAAAAAGAAAAGAAAAAGGGAAAAAGUUGGGAAUGAGAAACAUUGGUGGGAGAGUUGUGUUUAAAUGUUGAAUAUUUUGUUAGCUUUCCUCACUCAAGGAUUUUGCAUUCUAGAAAAACCAAUUUUUCUUGUUAGCCCGACCUCAUUGCAAGCCUUGGAAAAGUCUUUUUGAUGACAUUUGCAUGUAAAGAUGUUGAUUGUUUGAGAUGAAUGGCAAUUUUGUUUCAUGUGACUUGUGAACAAUAGAGAGUUGGA
RNAcentral lists this long non-coding RNA (415 nucleotides) under Vigna radiata. Its description in RNAcentral is "long non-coding RNA (VRAD_LNC002013)". The record is from RNAcentral. Lineage: Eukaryota; Viridiplantae; Streptophyta; Magnoliopsida; Fabales; Fabaceae.